AGAGUUUGAUCCUGGCUCAGGAUGAACGCUGGCGGCGUGCUUAACACAUGCAAGUCGAACGGGGAUUAUUUUGACAGAGACUUCGGUUGAAGUCGUUAUAAUCCUAGUGGCGGACGGGUGAGUAACGCGUGGGUAACCUGCCUCACACUGGGGGAUAACAGUCGGAAAUGACUGCUAAUACCGCAUAAGCGCACGGGAUUGCAUGAUCCAGUGUGAAAAACUCCGGUGGUGUGAGAUGGACCCGCGUUGGAUUAGCCAGUUGGCAGGGUAACGGCCUACCAAAGCGACGAUCCAUAGCCGGCCUGAGAGGGUGGACGGCCACAUUGGGACUGAGACACGGCCCAGACUCCUACGGGAGGCAGCAGUGGGGAAUAUUGCACAAUGGGGGAAACCCUGAUGCAGCGACGCCGCGUGAAGGAAGAAGUAUCUCGGUAUGUAAACUUCUAUCAGCAGGGAAGAAAAUGACGGUACCUGACUAAGAAGCCCCGGCUAACUACGUGCCAGCAGCCGCGGU
RNAcentral lists this ribosomal RNA (514 nucleotides) under uncultured human intestinal bacterium. Its description in RNAcentral is "bacterial SSU rRNA". It matches the Rfam family "Bacterial small subunit ribosomal RNA", at positions 8 to 521 of the family's 1533-position model. The record is from RNAcentral.